Long non-coding RNA from Acomys russatus (golden spiny mouse), 196 nucleotides. RefSeq lists it as uncharacterized. The record is from RefSeq and is a predicted model, not a curated record. The transcript has 2 exons. NCBI's taxonomy places the organism in Eukaryota, Metazoa, Chordata, Mammalia, Rodentia, Muridae.
CUGGUGGCACUCAGAGGAAGGACAGCAGGUUACCAAGAAGAGACUUGAUACCCUAUGAGCAUAUACAGGGGGAAGUAAUCCCCCUCAGGAACAGUCAUAGGGGAGGGGAAUAAGGGGAAAAUGGGAGGGAGGGAAGAAUGGGAGGAUACAAGGGAUGGGAUAACCAUUGAGAUGUAACAAGAAUAAAUUAAUAAAG